UACGUAGGGGGCAAGCGUUGUCCGGAUUUAUUGGGCGUAAAGCGCGCGUAGGCGGUCUAUUAAGUCCGAUGUGAAAACUCCCGGCUCAACUGGGAGACUGCAUUGGAAACUGGUAGGCUAGAGUGCAGGAGAGGGAAGUGGAAUUCCAAGUGUAGCGGUGAAAUGCGCAGAUAUUUGGAAGAACACCAGUGGCGAAGGCGGCUUCCUGGACUGCGACUGACGCUGAGGCGCGAAAGCUAGGGGAGCGAACAGGAUUAGAUACCCGUGUAGU
Molecule: ribosomal RNA, 271 nt
Filed under: uncultured bacterium
Lineage: Bacteria
Description: partial 16S ribosomal RNA
Rfam family: Bacterial small subunit ribosomal RNA
Source: RNAcentral